GGGGAAUAUUGCACAAUGGGCGAAAGCCUGAUGCAGCAACGCCGCGUGAGGGAUGACGGCCUUCGGGUUGUAAACCUCUUUUAGUAGGGAAGAAGCGAAAGUGACGGUACCUGCAGAAAAAGCACCGGCUAACUACGUGCCAGCAGCCGCGGUAAUACGUAGGGUGCAAGCGUUGUCCGGAAUUAUUGGGCGUAAAGAGCUCGUAGGCGGCUUGUCGCGUCUGCUGUGAAAUCCCGGGGCUCAACCCCGGGCCUGCAGUGGGUACGGGCAAGCUAGAGUGCGGUAGGGGAGAUUGGAAUUCCUGGUGUAGCGGUGGAAUGCGCAGAUAUCAGGAGGAACACCAAUGGCGAAGGCAGAUCUCUGGGCCGCUACUGACGCUGAGGAGCGAAAGCAUGGGGAGCGAAC
RNAcentral lists this ribosomal RNA (405 nucleotides) under uncultured bacterium. RNAcentral's name for it is "bacterial SSU rRNA". It matches the Rfam family "Bacterial small subunit ribosomal RNA", at positions 356 to 773 of the family's 1533-position model. The record is from RNAcentral.